RNAcentral lists this ribosomal RNA (198 nucleotides) under uncultured bacterium. RNAcentral's name for it is "partial 16S ribosomal RNA". It matches the Rfam family "Bacterial small subunit ribosomal RNA", at positions 328 to 539 of the family's 1533-position model. The record is from RNAcentral.
ACGCUCGACACCUACGGGAGGCAGCAGUGGGGAAUAUUGCACAAUGGGGGAAACCCUGAUGCAGCGACGCCGCGUGAGCGAAGAAGUAUCUCGGUAUGUAAAGCUCUAUCAGCAGGGAAGAAGAUGACGGUACCUGACUAAGAAGCACCGGCUAAAUACGUACCAGCAGCCGCGGUAAUCUGAGCGGGCUGGCAAGGC